This 719-nucleotide unclassified non-coding RNA is filed under the name Hevea brasiliensis (rubber tree). Lineage: Eukaryota; Viridiplantae; Streptophyta; Magnoliopsida; Malpighiales; Euphorbiaceae. The record is from RNAcentral.
CUCAACUCAAAACUGCGAAAUGUCGAGCUAGAUUAUUGAGGGUCACUUGUAAUCUCAGAAUCUCCUUUUGUGUUGCCAAACCCCCAAUUUUGAUGGAGCUGGAAUGAAUAUUCUUUGAAUUUUAAGCUUGCCUCUUUCAAUGGCUGCCUCUGUGUCACCAUUUUACCUAUCCUUCUCUUUUAGAAAUACCCAUCUCAGAGCCUUGCCUAACCGUUUGAAUACUAGUCCUUAUCCUUCUAUUUCCCAUGACAAACAAGCUCUUUUCAAGUCCAAGCCAUUCUUGGCAUUUCAAACUGUGGAUCUUCCUGGCUAUCGUAUUUUCUCGUCUGCUCCUUUCGCUUUAGCUAGAUCUUCUUCACUUAGGUUUCUUGAUCCUGCAGAUGAUGAAGAAAUAUUGCCGUCCUUUGAGGAAAGGAGAGCCAAAUUUCUGUUUUGGGUUGUGGUUUGGGCUUCUCUUUCUCUUGCUUGGUUUGCAGCUUCUGGGGAUGCUAAUGCAGCUGUCAAUUCCAUCAAAGCCUCCAGCUUUGGGCUAAAGAUUGGCAGCGCUCUUCGAGGUUCGGGUUGGCCUGAUGAAGCUGUGGUGUUUGCUCUUGCUACGCUUCCAGUGCUUGAGCUCCGUGGAGCUAUUCCUGUUGGUUAUUGGAUGCAACUUAAGCCUCUAACGCUAACUGUCUUAUCGAUUAUUGGGUUAGCCUCUCUUUGCUUAUUACGGUCAAUGC